GACGAACAUUUUCAAACUGAUGCAGUAGGCGGGAGCUUAAUCUGAAGGUAACAACGGCAAGAUCUGUUUGAAGAAUGAACAAUUUACAAACUGAUAGCAGCUGGGAAAUUCGGUGUGGAUCAAUAAGAUAGUUUCCCUCCUGUUUUGUUACAUGUUGGAUACAGUUAAAAGAGUGUUUGAUCCUCAAAGGUAACUGGGGCUAAUGUUUUGGUUGUCAAUACCCUUCUUUCAGUGAUAUGUUUUCAUGAGAUGCUGUAUGUUGGUUUCUGAGAUGCGUGUUGCUUUUUGGUGUUUGUUGGUAUGAUAUGAGACCUAUAUGGAUUGGUGUUUGUGUUUGCAUGAUUUGCUUUGGACGUGACGUCACUGUUGGGGUUGAUGUGUUAAUGGGAAUAAAACUUAAGAGGAUGGCUGGCUUGAACCCUGACCGGCUUUGGUUCUGAUUGCUAGUUAAUGCUCGACCGGUUUGUUUUUUGACGAAACCAGUCCAUCAACCAGCGCAUUGGCGGUUAACCAACUACACGUCCCUUCACAGACUUCUCUAUUUAUAUUCACUAUGCACUCCAGUCUCUAUGAGACACAGUGAAUUGGGG
This 590-nucleotide long non-coding RNA is filed under the name Linum usitatissimum (flax). RNAcentral's name for it is "long non-coding RNA (LUSI_LNC005646)". Lineage: Eukaryota; Viridiplantae; Streptophyta; Magnoliopsida; Malpighiales; Linaceae. The record is from RNAcentral.